GAGAUAGAUAAUAAUCUUAUCCAUGUAGAAGACCUCAAAGAUGUGCACAAUUGCACAAAUAUCGAUCAUUCAUUACCUACAAGUACAAGUAAUUUGAGCUAAACUAUAUGCAAAAAUCUACUCUUCACUUGCCUUGCUACCAAGUGUUAUAAGCAAAUUAACUAACUAGCUCUAUCAAAGAAAACAGUGAGGAAAUUUCGUCCAACAACUUUCUUCCUUGCAAAAAUAUAAUAGCGAUCAAAAUGGCAGUACGUACAUAUAUGUAUACUUUUUAAAUUUGUCAUUUUUAUCAUUUGGUUUUGAUCAAACUAAGGAAGUAAAAAUGAUACAAAACCGUUUGAUUCUUUGCAAUGGAAGCUAUGAAGAUACGAGGAAGGUUCUGACCUUUUAAUGUUUACGGAUGUUGCUGCUCGAUCCCUUUUAGCUAUCAUCUACACAGCAGUACUGGAUCAUUUCCACGUCAAGACUUGCCUUACCACCUUAACAUGUGGAGAGGAAGGAAGCUGUUUUACGUGCUCCCAUGUUCAUAUUAUCAUGGUAUUCUUGCAGUCUCCAACGUUCAUCAUCAUUUGGGAUCGAUAUUCAUCUAUAUAUAAUGUUUUACAAUUAUGAACCCACUGAUAAAUACAUAUAUUUUUUUCCGAGGAGUUCCUUCAUACCCCUAAAGCACAAGAACUUUGAGUGGUUUCCUAAUGUUUUAUUCCUCUUUUUUCACGACCUUGAGAUUAGAAUUUGUGAGAGAGAAAUAUCCAAGAUUUAACUAUAGAAAAUUUUUUAUUUGAGUUGCAAUAAUCUUUUUAAUUUUUUUUUAAAAUUUGAAUAAUCAAUAUUGUUGAGAAUCCAAUUGGAUUGUAGUCAAAUUCUAAUACUCAUAAUAGCCUCAUGAUAAAUGGCCUCAUCAUGAAAUUAAUUGUCUAACAUUUGUUUGGUCAUCAAUCAUCAUGGUAUGGGAGAUUAUGAUUUUUUAAUAAUUGGAUUUUUUUUUCAAGAAGUUACAAGUAAAAAAAAGUUACAAUCGUAAUCGAAAAUGUUAUUUAACAAAUGGA
Molecule: long non-coding RNA, 1046 nt
Filed under: Durio zibethinus
Lineage: Eukaryota; Viridiplantae; Streptophyta; Magnoliopsida; Malvales; Malvaceae
Description: long non-coding RNA (DZIB_LNC001803)
Source: RNAcentral